This 497-nucleotide ribosomal RNA is filed under the name uncultured bacterium. RNAcentral describes it as "partial 16S ribosomal RNA". It matches the Rfam family "Bacterial small subunit ribosomal RNA", at positions 28 to 507 of the family's 1533-position model. The record is from RNAcentral.
GAUGAACGCUGGCGGCGUGCCUAAUACAUGCAAGUCGAGCGAACAGACGAGGAGCUUGCUCCUCUGACGUUAGCGGCGGACGGGUGAGUAACACGUGGAUAACCUACCUAUAAGACUGGGUUAACUUCGGGAAACCGGAGCUAAUACCGGAUAAUAUAUUGAACCGCAUGGUUCAAUAGUGAAAGACGGUUUUGCUGUCACUUAUAGAUGGAUCCGCGCCGCAUUAGCUAGUUGGUAAGGUAACGGCUUACCAAGGCAACGAUGCGUAGCCGACCUGAGAGGGUGAUCGGCCACACUGGAACUGAGACACGGUCCAGACUCCUACGGGAGGCAGCAGUAGGGAAUCUUCCGCAAUGGGCGAAAGCCUGACGGAGCAACGCCGCGUGAGUGAUGAAGGUCUUCGGAUCGUAAAACUCUGUUAUUAGGGAAGAACAAAUGUGUAAGUAACUAUGCACGUCUUGACGGUACCUAAUCAGAAAGCCAUGGCUAACUACGUG